CACACUUUGACCUGCCCGGGAACACAGUGGCUCCUGGGAAAUAACCACUAAAGUCUUGAAAUGUCUUGAGUGAUUGGAGGACCUUUAUUUUUCACGCCUGAUGCCUUAUGCUGAUGAGAUGACUCAGCAGGGGAUGGCCAGGCCAGAAAGACCAAAACUGUAUCCUGAGGUUUGAGUUUCUGAGCCAGGUGAUGUCAUCCUCCAGAUUUAUUAAAAAUCAUCAACUUCAAAUUAUUUGGAUGGAAACAUUGCCAAAUCAUAGAGAUGUUUGCUACCACCCGCACACCAAGCAGCUGGGUAACUAGAAGUGCAGGAUCAGCUUAUUCACCUCCGAAAGCCUGCAUGCAACCACUGAGGCCGCCUCUAUUUUUUACAUAGUUCUACUUGGUGUAUGUAACCCCACAGAGAAACCUGGAAGAAUGCAUGAAACCUAGUAAGGCAACCAGCACAUGCAACAGAAUGAACCGUUUCUUUCCAUCUGAAUGCCUAAAUGUGGACUCUGAUCCUUUCUACCAAGUCCUAAGUUUGGGAAAAGAGGACAAGGACAGGGGCUCUGUCCCAUAUCAUAAUGUGCUUGUGAAUGGCUAAAAUUACAAUGCUGAGAUAAGUGUGUGUAAUAAAAUAAUUGCACCCCGA
RNAcentral lists this long non-coding RNA (636 nucleotides) under Homo sapiens (human). RNAcentral describes it as "non-protein coding LINC02411:15". Lineage: Eukaryota; Metazoa; Chordata; Mammalia; Primates; Hominidae. The record is from RNAcentral.